This 69-nucleotide transfer RNA is filed under the name Ictidomys tridecemlineatus (thirteen-lined ground squirrel). Its description in RNAcentral is "Spermophilus tridecemlineatus (thirteen-lined ground squirrel) tRNA". It matches the Rfam family "tRNA". Rfam says of the family: Transfer RNA (tRNA) molecules are approximately 80 nucleotides in length. Their secondary structure includes four short double-helical elements and three loops (D, anti-codon, and T loops). Further hydrogen bonds mediate the characteristic L-shaped molecular structure. tRNAs have two regions of fundamental functional importance: the anti-codon, which is responsible for specific mRNA codon recognition, and the 3' end, to which the tRNAs corresponding amino acid is attached (by aminoacyl-tRNA synthetases). tRNAs cope with the degeneracy of the genetic code in two manners: having more than one tRNA (with a specific anti-codon) for a particular amino acid; and 'wobble' base-pairing, i.e. permitting non-standard base-pairing at the 3rd anti-codon position. Lineage: Eukaryota; Metazoa; Chordata; Mammalia; Rodentia; Sciuridae. The record is from Rfam by way of RNAcentral.
GGGGUUGUGGCUCAGUGGUAGAAUGCUCAUCUAGCAUAUGUGGGGCCCUGGGUUUGAUUCCCAGCACCA